This 93-nucleotide transfer RNA is filed under the name Limosilactobacillus fermentum CECT 5716. RNAcentral describes it as "tRNA-Ser (GGA) (tRNA-Ser-GGA-1-1)". It matches the Rfam family "tRNA". From Rfam's summary of the family: Transfer RNA (tRNA) molecules are approximately 80 nucleotides in length. Their secondary structure includes four short double-helical elements and three loops (D, anti-codon, and T loops). Lineage: Bacteria; Bacillati; Bacillota; Bacilli; Lactobacillales; Lactobacillaceae. The record is from RNAcentral.
GGAGGAUUAGBCCCAGUUGGGAGAGGGACCAGCAUUGGAAAUGCUGUAUACGGGUUAAAGCCUGUAUCAAGGGUUCGAAUCCCUUACUCUCCG